Molecule: transfer RNA, 82 nt
Filed under: Hymenobacter monticola
Lineage: Bacteria; Pseudomonadati; Bacteroidota; Cytophagia; Cytophagales; Hymenobacteraceae
Also listed under: 3 other names
Description: tRNA-Leu
Rfam family: tRNA
About the family: Transfer RNA (tRNA) molecules are approximately 80 nucleotides in length.
Source: RNAcentral
GCGGAUAUGGCGAAAUUGGUAGACGUGCCAGGUUUAGGUUCUGGUGCCGCAAGGCGUGUGGGUUCGAGUCCCUCUAUCCGCA